RNAcentral lists this ribosomal RNA (895 nucleotides) under uncultured archaeon. RNAcentral's name for it is "bacterial SSU rRNA". It matches the Rfam family "Archaeal small subunit ribosomal RNA", at positions 455 to 1354 of the family's 1478-position model. The record is from RNAcentral.
GUGGCAGCCGCGCGGUAAUACGUACAGCACUAGUGGUAUCCCCUAAUAUUGGGCCUAAAGCGUGCGUAGCUGGUUUGAAAAGUCUUUGGUGAAAUCAGCAAGCUUAACUUGUUGAAUUGCCAAAGAUACUGUCAAACUCGAGGUCGGGAGACGUGAAGGGAAUUUCUGGGGUAGCGGUGAAAUGUUGUGAUCUCAGAAGGACCACCAGUAGCGAAGGCGCUCCACGAGAACGAACCUGACAGUGAGGUACGAAAGCUGAGGGAGCGACCCGGAUUAGAUACCCGGUUAGUCUCAGCCGUAAACGAUGUGGACUAGGUGUCCUAGCACUCAUGAAGUGUCGGGGUGCCGAAGCAAAGGUGUUAAGUCCACCGCCUGGGAAGUAUACUCGCAAGGGUGAAACUUAAUGGAAUUGGCGGGGGCGCACUACAAGGGGUGGAUGCUGCGGUUUAAUCGGAUAAAACGCCAAACAUCUUACCAAGGGCGACAGCAGUUUGAUGUUCAGUCUAAAGGGCUUAACUGACACGCUGAGAGGUGUUGUAUGGUCAUCGUCAGCUCGUACUAUGAAGCGUCCUGUCAACUCAGGCAACGGGCGAGACCCACAUUUUUAGUUGCUACUUUCGGAUUUCCGGGGGGCACUCUAGAAAGACUGCAAGGGUAACCUUGAGGAAGGAGUGGGCAACGGUAGAUCUGUAAGGCCCGAAUCUCUUGGGCAACACGCGGCAUACAAUGGUCAAAACAAUGAGUUUCGAGCCCGAAAGGGUAAGGUAAUCCCCUAAAUUUGACCACAGUUCAGAUCGAGGGUUGUAACUCACCCUCGUGAAGUUGGAAUCCCCAGUAAUCGCGUGUCAUUAUCGCGCGGUGAAUAUGUCCCUGCGCCUUGCACACACCGCCCGUC